This is a long non-coding RNA of Marmota monax (woodchuck), 936 nucleotides long. RefSeq lists it as uncharacterized. The transcript has 3 exons. The record is from RefSeq and is a predicted model, not a curated record. NCBI's taxonomy places the organism in Eukaryota, Metazoa, Chordata, Mammalia, Rodentia, Sciuridae.
UUUUGUUUUCAGAUUUCCACUUUUUAAAAAAUCUCUCUUUGCUUUCUACAUUCAAUUUUGUCUUGGGAACAAGAUAUUAAAAGCUGAGAGACCACAAAAGAGUGGCCCCAGCAAUCUGGCUUCCAGUGAACCUGUCCAAAGAGUGGAGGAGUCCAUGGGACAUGGAGAUGAAGAAUCUUCUGAAUGAGAUCCCACACCAGACAAGGUGUGCAGUUAGCCUCAUCAUCACUGGAAUUAUUGUCCUGGUAGCUGCCAUCGCCACCACAGCCACUGCAGCUGCUUCACUCACUCAGAGUAUCCAGACCGCUCAGACUGUACCAUCGUCUGAAUGUUUGUGUUCCCACAAAAUUCAUUAGUUAAAAUUUAACCACUACUGUGAUAAUAUAUGGAGGUGAUAACAUUGGGAGGCAAUUAUGUCAUAAGAGUGGAGCCCUUAUGAACAGGAUUUUUUGUACCUUUACAAAAGAAGUCUUUGUGAGCUGCUUUGACCCUUCAACCAUGAGGACACAGCAAGAAGAUAACAACUCUGAAACAAAAAGGGAGCCUUUACCAGACAUUGAAUCUGAAUGCCUGGAUCUUGGACUUAUAGCCUCUACAACUAUAAGAAAUAAAAGUAUUUUUAUAAAUAAAAGUAAAAGUAAAAGUAUUUUGUUAUAGUAGACCAAACAAACUAAGACAGAAUCAACAUCUUUCCUGGUACGCAUUCCCUUGUUUUCAGGAUAUUGUUGAAGUAAAUACCCAUCCAUGGGUGAUUGUCUGGUAACAUUUAAGCCAAGGACAGUAUGGUUAGUAUUUUUUUUAACAUUCACAUGUAGAGAGCUCAUAAAUUUCUUUAACUAUUAAGCUAUAAUCCUUAGUCGGCCUAUCAAUAUAGAUACUUUUAAAUUCAUUUUUCAUAACCAUCAUUGUAGUCACAGUUCAUCUAAUUAUUUAUUA